UACGAAGGGUGCAAGCGUUACUCGGAAUUACUGGGCGUAAAGCGUGCGUAGGUGGUUCGUUAAGUCCGAUGUGAAAGCCCUGGGCUCAACCUGGGAAUGGCAUUGGAUACUGGUGGGCUAGAGUGCGGUAGAGGGCAGUGGAAUUCCCGGUGUAGCAGUGAAAUGCGUAGAGAUCGGGAGGAACAUCUGUGGCGAAGGCGACUGCCUGGACCAGCACUGACACUGAGGCACGAAAGCGUGGGGAGCAAACAGG
This 253-nucleotide ribosomal RNA is filed under the name uncultured bacterium. RNAcentral's name for it is "partial 16S ribosomal RNA". It matches the Rfam family "Bacterial small subunit ribosomal RNA", at positions 524 to 776 of the family's 1533-position model. The record is from RNAcentral.